UGAAUACGAGAUGCUACGGCGUCGAAGCAGUGUAUGUCAGACUUCCAAGAAAAGCUCGCAAUGUCAUAAAUAAAGAAUGCCUGUACCAUAACCGACACAGGUGGGUAGGUAGAGUAUACUAAGGGGCGCGAGAUAACUCUCUCUAAGGAACUCGGCAAAAUAACUCCGUAACUUCGGGAGAAGGAGUGCCUUCUAUUAGAAGGUUGCAAUAACAAGAUCCAAGCAACUGUUUAUCAAAAACACAGGUCUCCGCUAAGUCGUAAGACGAUGUAUGGGGGCUGACGCCUGCCCAGUGCCAGAAGGUUAAAGAAGUUGGUUAGCCUUGGCGAAGCUGAUGACUGAAGCCCUGGUGAACGGCGGCCGUAACAAUAACGGUCCUAAGGUAGCGAAAUUCCUUGUCGGGUAAGUUCCGACCCGCACGAAAGGCGUAAUGAUUUGGAUACUGUCUCGGAGAGGGACUCGGUGAAAUAGACUUGUCUGUGAAGAUGCGGACUACCUGCACCAGGACAGAAAGACCCUAUGAAGCUUUACUGUAACUUGAAAUUGAAAUUGGACUUUAUUUGCGCAGCAUAGGUGGAAGGCGUUGAGAUUACUCUUGCGGGAGUACUGGAGCCAUCAGUGAGAUACCACUCCUAUAAUGUUAGAUUUCUAACUUUGGAUCAUGAUCUGGUCAAAGAACAGUUUCAGGCGGGCAGUUUGACUGGGGCGGUCGCCUCCCAAAUGGUAACGGAGGCGUACAAAGGUUUCCUCUGAACGGGUAGAAAUCGUAUCUAGAGUGUAAAGGCAUAAGGAAGCUUGACUGUGAGACCUACAAGUCGAGCAGGGACGAAAGUCGGUCUUAGUGAUCUGACGGUGCUGAGUGGAAAGGCCGUCACUCAACGGAUAAAAGUUACUCUAGGAUAACAGGCUGAUCUCCCCCAAGAGUUCACAUCGACGGGGAGGUUUGGCACCUCGAUGUCGGCUCAUCGCAUCCUGGGGCGGUAGUACGUCCCAAGGGUUGGGCUGUUCGCCCAUGAAAGCGGUACGCGAGCUGGGUUCAGAACGUCGUGAGACAGUUCGGUCCAUAUCCGGUGUAGGCGUUAGAAUAUUGAGAGGAGCCUUCUUUAGUACGAGAGGACCGAGAAGGACAUUCCUCUGGUGUACCAGUUAUCGUGCCAACGGUAAACGCUGGGUAGCUAUGUAUGGAGAGGAUAACCGCUGAAAGCAUCUAAGUGGGAAGCCCACCUCAAGAUGAGUAUUCUCA
RNAcentral lists this ribosomal RNA (1243 nucleotides) under metagenome. RNAcentral's name for it is "bacterial LSU rRNA". It matches the Rfam family "Bacterial large subunit ribosomal RNA", at positions 1564 to 2816 of the family's 2925-position model. The record is from RNAcentral.